UACGGAGGAUGCGAGCGUUAUCCGGAUUUAUUGGGUUUAAAGGGUGCGUAGGCUGUAAGGUAAGUCAGCGGUGAAAUGCCCCCGCUCAACGGGGUGAAGUGCCAUUGAUACUGCCUUGCUGGAAUGCGGAUGCCGUGGGAGGAAUGUGUGGUGUAGCGGUGAAAUGCGUAGAUAUACGGAAGAACACCAGUGGCGAAGGCGGCCGCCUGGCCUGUUACUGACGCUGAGGCACGAAAGCGUGGGGAGCAAAUAGG
RNAcentral lists this ribosomal RNA (254 nucleotides) under uncultured bacterium. RNAcentral describes it as "partial 16S ribosomal RNA". It matches the Rfam family "Bacterial small subunit ribosomal RNA", at positions 524 to 776 of the family's 1533-position model. The record is from RNAcentral.